CGCGUAGGCGGGGAGGUAAGUCGGGUGUGAAAUCCCUCGGCCCAACCGAGGAACUGCGCCCGAGACUGCUUCUCUUGAGUCCCGGAGAGGAAGAUGGAAUUCCCGGUGUAGCGGUGAAAUGUGUAGAGAUCGGGAGGAACACCGGUGGCGAAGGCGGUCUUCUGGACGGUGACUGACGCUGAGGCGCGAAAGCGUGGGGAGCAAAACGG
RNAcentral lists this ribosomal RNA (209 nucleotides) under uncultured bacterium. RNAcentral describes it as "partial 16S ribosomal RNA". It matches the Rfam family "Bacterial small subunit ribosomal RNA", at positions 568 to 776 of the family's 1533-position model. The record is from RNAcentral.